Molecule: ribosomal RNA, 394 nt
Filed under: uncultured bacterium
Lineage: Bacteria
Description: partial 16S ribosomal RNA
Rfam family: Bacterial small subunit ribosomal RNA
Source: RNAcentral
AUACGUAGGGGACGAGCGUUGUCCGGAAUUACUGGGCGUAAAGGGCGCGCAGGCGGAUAUUUAAGUCAGCUGUAAAAGGCAUGAGCUCAACUCAUGUAUGCGGUUGAAACUGGGUAUCUAGAGUGCUGGAGAGGUAGGCGGAAUUCCCGGUGUAGCGGUGAAAAGCGUAGAUAUCGGGAAGAACACCAGUGGCGAAGGCGGCUUACUGGCCAGCAACUGACGCUGAGGCGCGAAAGCCAGGGGAGCGAACGGGAUUAGAUACCCCGGUAGUCCUGGCCGUAAACGAUGAAUGCUAGGUGUGGGUGUCGAGAGGCAUCCGUGCCGGAGUUAACGCGAUAAGCAUUCCGCCUGGGGAGUACGAUCGCAAGAUUGAAACUCAAAUGAAUUGACGGGG